RNAcentral lists this ribosomal RNA (433 nucleotides) under uncultured bacterium. RNAcentral's name for it is "partial 16S ribosomal RNA". It matches the Rfam family "Bacterial small subunit ribosomal RNA", at positions 29 to 507 of the family's 1533-position model. The record is from RNAcentral.
AACGAACGCUGGCGGCAUGCCUAACACAUGCAAGUCGAACGAGACCUUCGGGUCUUGUGGCGCACGGGUGCGUCACGCGUGGGAACCUGCCCUUAGGUUCGGCAUAACUCAGAGAAAUUUGAGCUAAUACCGGAUGAUGUCUUCGGACCAAAGAUUUAUCGCCUUUCGAUGGGCCCGCGUUGGAUUCGCUUGUUGGUGGGGUAAAGGCCUACCAAGGCGACGAUCCAUAGCUGGUCUGAGAGGAUGAUCAGCGACACUGGGACUGAGACACGGCCCAGACUCCUACGGGAGGCAGCAGUGGGGAAUAUUGGACAAUGGGGGAAAGCAUGAUCCAGCAAUGCCGCGUGAGUGAUGAAGGCCGUAGAGUUGUAAAGCUCUUUUACCCGAGAUGAUAAUGACAGUAUCGGGAGAAUAAGCUCCGGCUAACUCCGUG